CCUACGGGAGGCUGCAGUGGGGAAUAUUGCACAAUGGGGGAAACCCUGAUGCAGCGACGCCGCGUGAGUGAAGAAGUAUUUCGGUAUGUAAAGCUCUAUCAGCAGGGAAGAAAAUGACGGUAACUGAUUAAGAAGCCCCGGCUAACUACGUGCCAGCAGCCGCUGUAAUACGUAGGGGGCAAGCGUUAUCCGGAUUUACUGGGUGUAAAGGGAGCGUAGACGGGGAUGCAAGUCAGAAGUGAAAGCCCGGGGCUGAACUCCGGGACUGCUUUUGAAACUGUGUGACUUGAGUGCAGGAGAGGUAGGCGGAAUUCCUGGUGUAGCGGUGAAAUGCGUAGAUAUCAGGAGGAACACCAGUGGCGAAGGCGGCUUACUGGACUGUAACUGACGUUGAGGCUCGAAAGCGUGGGGAGCAAACAGGAUUAGAUACCCUAGUAGUC
This 440-nucleotide ribosomal RNA is filed under the name uncultured bacterium. RNAcentral's name for it is "partial 16S ribosomal RNA". It matches the Rfam family "Bacterial small subunit ribosomal RNA", at positions 338 to 795 of the family's 1533-position model. The record is from RNAcentral.